This is a long non-coding RNA of Equus caballus (horse), 4083 nucleotides long. The record is from Ensembl. Lineage: Eukaryota; Metazoa; Chordata; Mammalia; Perissodactyla; Equidae.
GUGGAUGGAGGGGAAGAACCCAGGAUUGACCCUGCCUCUCCAGUAUGAACUGUACCUUUCAGGGACCAAAGAGUUGAUGAGGGGAAGUUUGCCUUUAGAUAGGUAAAUGAAGGGUUUAUAAUAAAAGCUGCCGUCCACUGGCUGGAAGGAGGCAAAGGGAGAGCUGAAGAUGGAGCCCACUAGUUUCAUCCUGGAGAGCACCCAGCAGGUUCCCAGAAGUGUGUCACAGCAGAUGCCCGCCCUAAGCUCCAAGACAAGCGAAGGAGCCUAUCUGGUGCAUAGUCCAGCAUCCCUCCGUCAGCGACUUCCCUGCUGGACCCUGGGCCUGAGUCUGUGAAAAUCCUGAGAUCUAGCAGUGGAGCCUGUGGGACAUGCUAAAUGUGCGCAGUGUCUGCCUGUGCCCUUCCACUGGCGUCUCCGCCUUCUUUAGGACCUGUCUGCAGCAUCUCCGCAUCACAGUUCCUCGGAGGGCACUGAUGAGUCCUGUGAGUCACACAGGACACGCGUCGGGGAGGGGAGGAGCAGCGCUCUCUAAAAUGCUGCUGAGCCUCAAAGAAGAAACUGGUGGACUCUCUGAACUCGUGCUGAUUCAGCCGGACAGUCUCUACUCGCCACUCUGUAUGGGAACCUUGCCUCUGCUCCAGGAAAUGCCUAAGUUCACGGGUAGUAAGUGGUAGUGGUGAUGGAGUUAAUCAACUAGGUACUAUCUGGAAAUAUACAUUCUAAAGGGCUAACUACCCACCUGAUCCUCUAGAUAAACGGUGUCUUCGGAUGUCCCUGGGCUUCAUACAAGGAAUUCUGUCCUCUGCAGUUCAAAUAAGAUGAAUAUAAAUGUCUUCCCUGCUCAUUCACUCUCGUUGCUGUUCCUUGCUGGCCUUAGGUUUCACCUGGCAAAAGGUCAAAGGCCCUAGUUUAUUUCGAGUUCCAAACCUACACUUGGAAUUGGAAUUGGUGUAAAGUACGCCAAUUUCUAGGAAUUUUCCUCAGAGAAGAAAACAGUUGGCUCCUUCCUGGGAUCAUACACUAACGUAAUUCCGGUAUUCAGGACCUGGGGAGCAGUUCCUUCAGUUCAAUCCCCACACACGAGUUUUCCAGGCUGAGGACAGCUGGUAGGGGGCCGUCCAUCCUUCAAAGUCUCUGAAGGUUAUCUGUAUGGAUCAUAAGGAGGAAAAUGUCCACUUACGAUUCAGCAGUUUUGCUAUUUUAAUCCCUGCCAUAAGAGUCAGUGAUAGCCAGAGGGAUAUAAACAGAUCAGUAUAUAAAUAAAUAACCCCUCCUUUUGUGUUUACUCAUUCACCAAGCCUUUAUUGGCGCUUGUUGUAAUCAAAGCAUUGUCCUGCGUACUCUGGGAAAGCAGUCGCUAACCCUGCUCUUCAAACAUCAAGGGGCGACAGUCUCGUGGAGACAGAGAGAGACGAGCAAACAGCUAAGUACAAAGCAGAAUAUGAUAAAUCAUGUAACUGAGAAAGAAGCAGCAAAAAAUGAACAGAGAAUUAAUUCCAGCUUGGGAAAACUUAUGAAAGAGGUAAUUUUGAGCUCAGCCUUGAGAGAUAGUUGGUGGAGAAGAAUUAUAGACAAUAUAUAAAGCUGAAAGGAAAAAUUCAUGAGCAAAAGCGUGGAGGUGUGGAAGUCCACAAUGGUUAGGUUCUGGAAGAUUAGCUGAUGACGUGGAAAGGGAAGAACGUGAGGAGAUACUGAUAUCGGAGAAAGCAGAUGGAACUUGUGUGUGGUGAUUCCCACAUGCUGUCAUGAGGAUUUGGGACUUGUCCUCAGGCCAUAAAAACUUUUUGAAAGGUUUUGAAGAAGGAGUGACAUGUUCUGACUUGUGUAAUGAGAAUGACUGUCCUAAAUAUUAAUAUAGCAGGGGGUGAGAUUGGUCAUGAGGCUAUCACCCACUGUAAACAAGAGAGGCUGAGAUUCAAAGGGAGCGUGAAUAAGUCCACUUCUUCCCCUAAGAUAGAAAGAAUUGAGUCGAGGAUCAGUCGAGAGAAGGAGUAAUAUGGAGGGCAUAUGAAGGACUCACUUUAGGUUCCCUCAUCCUUCUUAAUGAAGUAGCCAGCAAGGAAAACAGCUAAGAGCCCCCCGGUACAUAGUUGUGUAUUCUUCGUUGUGGGUUCUUCUAGUUGUGGCACGUGGGACGCUGCCUCAGCGUGGUCUGACAAGCAGUGCCAUGUCCGUGCCCAGGAUUCGAACUGACGAAACACUGGGCCGCCUGCAGCGGAGCGCGCGAACUUAACCACUGGGCCAUGGGGCCAGCCCCAAGGGUGAGUUUAUUUUUUAUUUUUAUCUUUUUUAUUUUUAUCUUUUGGUGAGGAAGAUUGUCCCUGAGCUAACAUUUGUGCUAGUUUUCUCUAUUUUGUAUGUGGGAGGCUGCCACAGCAUGGCUUGAUGAGCAGUGUGUAGGUCUACACUCAGUACCCAAACCCGCAAACCCCAGGCUGCCAAAGCAGAGCACAUGAACUAAACCACUAUACCAUCGGGCCAGCCUCUCAAGUGUGAUUUUAAAAACUUCUGUUAAGGGGCCGGCCUGGUUGCUGAGUGGUUAGGGAUGCACGUUCUGCUUUGGCGGCCCAGGGUUGCACCGGUUUGGAUCCUGGGCGUGGAGCUAGUGCCACUCAUCAGGCCAUGCUGAGGUGGCAUCCCACGUGUCACAACUAGAAGGACCCACAACUGAAAAUAUACAACUAUUUACCGGGGGCCUUUGGAGAGAAGAAGGAAAAAUAAAAUCUUAAGGAAGAAAAAAACAACAAACUUCUGUUAAGACAAUAAGCCAGCUAACCUGCUGAGCGCCUAGGUCUCAGACUUUCUUGCCCCUCUAAAGACCCAAUAUUGUAGAUCUCUUUUUGAAGACACUUGACAAAUUAUCAGGCUAUAGCAAGACUAUUCAACUUCCCAUAAGAAUUUCUUUGUAGCCUCUGCUGCAGCAAAUCACCCUUCUUUAUUUCCAAUAAAACAUUUGAAGACAGAAAUCAUAUUCAAAUGUAAUCAUGACAGCAUCGUACCGUUUCUAUACAGGGUCCUGAGUCAUCCUGCGGUAAAUAUUAACCAAUGAGCCAUCAGCGGUUUGAUCUAGUAAGCCAUCCAAGUGCCUUCCUUUUGCCUUAAUAUGUUCACGGCAGCAAAGCCUGCUUCAAAAUGAGAUGCGAAACUUCCUAGCUGACAACGCCAGCUGUGUACAAAUGCUUGGGUAUUUCCCCACGUAAGGGAAAACUGCACUGUUCAUUGAGGCGCUGCAUACCCUCAAUACUGAUAUUCUAGGAAGGAACAAGGUGCGCCUGAAGCAGAGAGGCUGCAUUCACACAGGGGCAACACCCAUUACACUUGACGAGUGUGAAAGAAAUAUUCUGUGACGGACCCUAGGGUCGUCAGCCUCCCGGUGGGGGAAGCGACCUUGUGACCGGCUCAGGAACACUGCUGAGAACUGUGCGUGAAGUCACUCAGCGCUCUUCUCACGGUUCUGAUUUCAAACAGUUGAUGCUCUAGUUUCUAUUUUCUUCUAGAACAGCCUGUUUGUUAGCCCAGAGAGAUGGCAUCAGAACACUUUGAUUCUUGGUUUUCCAGUGAUUCAUACUGUCCUCCAGGUUUAUAGGCUAUUUGUUCCAUCAUUUAUUCAUCUCCUUUUAGGGUCUUGGAACUGGGGGCGGUGCCAGGCAGACAGAGAUAAAUAAAACAAUUUGACUACAUCCUAAUAAGACCCAGUUCAGAUUUCUGAACGCCAAAAAUGUAAGACAAUAAUUUUGUGUUGUUUUAAGCCACUAAAUUUGUGGUCGUGUGUUAUAGCAGCCAUAGGAAAUGAAUCCACCCUCCUUUUCCUGUAAAACUUGCCUUUCUGAAUACUUCAGCACAUUUAGCCAAUCAGGCAUUUUUGCUGGAAAUUGACACUUUUAAUCAGUUUUGUCCUAACUUUGAUUUGAACAUGUAGCAGUUUAAUUACCCUCUUGAAUAUGUGAGUCAUAUCAUUGUCAUAUCUACUGAGAUCUGAAGAAAAGCCAUCUAGCAAUAUUAAUUAUGUGAGAGGAUGGCAUUUCUUUCUCUUAUUUGAAUUAUGUCUCAUCAAUUGGAUUAUCUUGCUUGUGUAAUUAC